CACAAAACCACCGAUAUCAACUCUCUCACUGAUUACAUGACAAUAAAAGAUCUGAUAUUCUG
Molecule: small nucleolar RNA, 62 nt
Filed under: Macaca nemestrina (pig-tailed macaque)
Lineage: Eukaryota; Metazoa; Chordata; Mammalia; Primates; Cercopithecidae
Description: Small nucleolar RNA SNORD81 (ENSMNEG00000003342.1)
Source: RNAcentral